UACGUAGGGGGCAAGCGUUAUCCGGAUUCACUGGGUGUAAAGGGAGCGUAGACGGCGACGCAAGUCUGGAGUGAAAGCCCGGGGCCCAACCCCGGGACUGCUCUGGAAACUGUAUAGCUUGAGUACUGGAGAGGCAGGCGGAAUUCCUAGUGUAGCGGUGAAAUGCGUAGAUAUUAGGAGGAACACCAGUGGCGAAGGCGGCCUGCUGGACGAUGACUGACGUUGAGGCUCGAAAGCGUGGGGAGCAAACAGG
This 253-nucleotide ribosomal RNA is filed under the name uncultured Lachnospiraceae bacterium. RNAcentral describes it as "partial 16S ribosomal RNA". It matches the Rfam family "Bacterial small subunit ribosomal RNA", at positions 524 to 776 of the family's 1533-position model. Lineage: Bacteria; Bacillati; Bacillota; Clostridia; Lachnospirales; Lachnospiraceae. The record is from RNAcentral.